CCUACGGGGGGCAGCAGUGGGGAAUAUUGGACAAUGGGGGGAACCCUGAUCCAGCCAUGCCGCGUGUGUGAAGAAGGCCCUCGGGUUGUAAAGCACUUUCAGUGAGGAAGAACGCCUGGUGGUUAAUACCCAUCAGGAAAGACAUCACUCACAGAAGAAGCACCGGCUAACUCCGUGCCAGCAGCCGCGGUAAUACGGAGGGUGCGAGCGUUAAUCGGAAUUACUGGGCGUAAAGCGCGCGUAGGUGGCUUGAUAAGCCGGUUGUGAAAGCCCCGGGCUCAACCUGGGAACGGCAUCCGGAACUGUCAAGCUAGAGUGCAGGAGAGGAAGGUAGAAUUCCCGGUGUAGCGGUGAAAUGCGUAGAGAUCGGGAGGAAUACCAGUGGCGAAGGCGACCUUCUGGACUGACACUGACACUGAGGUGCGAAAGCGUGGGUAGCAAACAGGAUUAGAUACCCUAGUAGUC
RNAcentral lists this ribosomal RNA (465 nucleotides) under Vreelandella stevensii. Its description in RNAcentral is "partial 16S ribosomal RNA". It matches the Rfam family "Bacterial small subunit ribosomal RNA", at positions 338 to 795 of the family's 1533-position model. The record is from RNAcentral. Lineage: Bacteria; Pseudomonadati; Pseudomonadota; Gammaproteobacteria; Oceanospirillales; Halomonadaceae.